GGGGUUGUAGCUCAGUGGUAGAGUGCUUGCCUAGCGAGUAAGAGGCACUGAUUCGAUUCCCAGCACCA
This 68-nucleotide transfer RNA is filed under the name Marmota monax (woodchuck). It matches the Rfam family "tRNA". Rfam says of the family: Transfer RNA (tRNA) molecules are approximately 80 nucleotides in length. Their secondary structure includes four short double-helical elements and three loops (D, anti-codon, and T loops). Further hydrogen bonds mediate the characteristic L-shaped molecular structure. tRNAs have two regions of fundamental functional importance: the anti-codon, which is responsible for specific mRNA codon recognition, and the 3' end, to which the tRNAs corresponding amino acid is attached (by aminoacyl-tRNA synthetases). tRNAs cope with the degeneracy of the genetic code in two manners: having more than one tRNA (with a specific anti-codon) for a particular amino acid; and 'wobble' base-pairing, i.e. permitting non-standard base-pairing at the 3rd anti-codon position. The record is from Rfam by way of RNAcentral. Lineage: Eukaryota; Metazoa; Chordata; Mammalia; Rodentia; Sciuridae.